CCUACGGGAGGCAGCAGUGAGGAAUAUUGGUCAAUGGACGAGAGUCUGAACCAGCCAAGUAGCGUGAAGGAUGACUGCCCUACGGGUUGUAAACUUCUUUUAUACGGGAAUAAAAUGCUCCACGUGUGGGAGUUUGUAUGUACCAUACGAAUAAGGACCGGCUAAAUCCGUGCCAGCAGCCGCGGUAAUACGGAGGACCCGAGCGUUAUCCGGAUUUAUUGGGUUUAAAGGGAGCGUAGGUGGGUUGUUAAGUCAGUUGUGAAAGUUUGCGGCUCAACCGUAAAAUUGCAGUUGAAACUGGCAGUCGUGAGUACAGUAGAGGUAGGCGGAAUUCGUGGUGUAGCGGUGAAAUGCUUAGAUAUCACGAAGAACUCCGAUUGCGAAGGCAGCUCGCUGGACUGCGACUGACGCUGAGGCUCGAAGGUGUGGGUAUCAAACAGGAUUAGAUACCCGAGUAGUC
RNAcentral lists this ribosomal RNA (460 nucleotides) under uncultured bacterium. RNAcentral describes it as "partial 16S ribosomal RNA". It matches the Rfam family "Bacterial small subunit ribosomal RNA", at positions 338 to 795 of the family's 1533-position model. The record is from RNAcentral.